UAACUCCAGUUGAUCGUGCUGGAGGGUACUGCUAUCGAAGUCAGAUUAAGCCAUGCAAGUCCAUACGUGCCCAUGUACGUAUGGCGAACGGCUGAGUAACGCGUGGUCAAUCUACCCUGGGGUCGGGCAUAACCGCGGGAAACUGCGGGUAAUUCCCGAUAGGUGAGCGAUGCUGGAAUGCUUGUUCUCCUAAAGGAUGUGCAAAUUGGAGCAUAAUCGCCCUAGGAUGAGACUGCGUCGGAUUAUGGUAGUUGGUGGGGUAACGGCCCACCAAG
Molecule: ribosomal RNA, 275 nt
Filed under: Microcaldota archaeon
Lineage: Archaea; Nanobdellati; Microcaldota
Description: partial 16S ribosomal RNA
Rfam family: Archaeal small subunit ribosomal RNA
Source: RNAcentral